This 1062-nucleotide long non-coding RNA is filed under the name Linum usitatissimum (flax). Its description in RNAcentral is "long non-coding RNA (LUSI_LNC005813)". The record is from RNAcentral. Lineage: Eukaryota; Viridiplantae; Streptophyta; Magnoliopsida; Malpighiales; Linaceae.
UUUUUCAGUAUGUCUAAGCCUCUCCACCCAAUCACCAGCAGUCGUCGCAAACCAAGCUCUGCCGCCUGUAGUAUUAUAGAGUGUCGCAGUCGAAGCCCCUCUCAUUGCUGGAAUUUCAUCAAAAACGAUAAAAUAAUCAAGUAUUUAAGUAAAUUGUCAGUUUUUAGGGCAUCCAGAUUAUUAAGUUCAUCUUAACAACAAAAUAGUCAAGUCUUUUUCCCAGUGAUCUAAUCAACAACAAGACUACCACCACCUACCAAGUAAAAUUAAAAACGGGUAAACAUUAGCUGUUUUACUUCCCAAAGGUAUUCUGUUCCUUUUAUCUCAAUUUUCCAGAAGGAGUUUAUUCCACCCGUUUUCGAAGGCUUUAAAAGAAAUUAAAAAUCGUUAGUGAGUUAGUUUAAAAAAGAAACAGAGAUUAACGAAGGAAAAUAUGGCAUAAUUUUUUUAUUUUAUCUUCCUCUUUGUCCCUAUCUCUUCGCCGUUGCCGUCGCCGGACGCGUCACCGACGGCGAGUCUUCCUCCUCGCCCUGCCGAUUGCCAACCCUGCACAAAAAAACAAACAAACCAAAUAAAAUAAAAAAAUCAAGAAAAAAGCUUCAUACCCUAGGUCUACAAAUCGGGACUGAUAUGUCACCGGAGGACUCGCCAGAACAUCCUCUAAUGACAUGCAAGUCUAGACUGGACGAAAAUUAGAAAAAAAGGGGUUUCCGAGAUUUCUUUUACCUUUUCUUAUUUUCUGUUGUUGUUGAUGGCCGAGAGAGGGAAGGGGAGGCAGAGGAGGCCGCCGUCGUCGUCGUCGCUGAAAAACAGAGAGUGAAGAGGCGGUCGAGAAAAAAAAGGAAGAAAAAAGAGAGAGACGAGAGGAGAAAGAAAGGGGAAGGAGAAAAAAUAGGUCGCCGCCGUUAAGAGAGACGGCUGAGAAGGAAAGAAAAAAAAGAGGGGGAAAGGAAGGGAAAAUAACAGAGAAAGAAAUGGAAAAAAAGAGCAGUGCGAGAGAGACAUGGGAUGUUUUAGAGUGAGGGCAGAGAGUUUGGGGACAUGAGAGGAAGAGAGAGAGUG